This 583-nucleotide ribosomal RNA is filed under the name uncultured bacterium. RNAcentral describes it as "bacterial SSU rRNA". It matches the Rfam family "Bacterial small subunit ribosomal RNA", at positions 100 to 676 of the family's 1533-position model. The record is from RNAcentral.
GACGGGUGAGUAAUGCCUAGGAAUCUGCCUGGUAUUGGGGGAUAACGUCCGGAAACGGACGCUAAUACCGCAUACUUCCUACGGGAGAAAGCAGGGGACCUUCGGGCCUUGCGCUAUCACAUGAGCCUAGGUCGGAUUAUCUAGUUGGUGGGGUAAUGGCUCACCAAGGCGACGAUCCGUAACUGGUCUGAGAGGAUGAUCAGUCACACUGGAACUGAGACACGGUCCAGACUCCUACCGGAGGCAGCAGUGGGGAAUAUUGGACAAUGGGCGAAAGCCUGAUCCAUCCAUGCCGCGUGUGUGAAGAAGGUCUUCGGAUUGUAAAGCACUUUAAGUUGGGAGGAAGGGCAGUAAAUUAAUACUUUGCUGUUUUGACGUUACCGACAGAAUAAAACCGGCUAACUCUGUGCCAGCAGCCGCGGUAAUACAGAGGGUGCAAGCGUUAAUCGGAAUUUACUGGGCGUAAAGCGCGCGUAUGUGGUCUCGUUAUUUGGAUGUGAAAUCACCCGGGCUCAACCCUGGGAACUGCUUUCAAUAACUGACGAGCUAUAUUAUGGUAGAGGGUGGUGGAAUUUUCCUGUGU